UCAGUGGUGGUUCAGUGGUAGAAUUCUCACCUUCCAUGUGGGAGACUCAGGUUCAAUUCCUGGUCAAUGCA
RNAcentral lists this transfer RNA (71 nucleotides) under Loxodonta africana (African savanna elephant). It matches the Rfam family "tRNA". From Rfam's summary of the family: Transfer RNA (tRNA) molecules are approximately 80 nucleotides in length. Their secondary structure includes four short double-helical elements and three loops (D, anti-codon, and T loops). Lineage: Eukaryota; Metazoa; Chordata; Mammalia; Proboscidea; Elephantidae. The record is from Rfam by way of RNAcentral.